CUUUGUGCUGCUUGUCUCUUUUUCCUGGAAUCCUGCAGACCCCAAUAGGUGACACUCCCCGCCCGCCUCUUCAGCCCUUCGGGAGCUUGGCCACGACCACAUUUCUUUUCUGCCAGCAUGUAGGGAGGAGUAGAGAAUCUCUGCCGCCCCCAAACUAUUUUAGGACCAAAAAGAACUUGGAAUUCGGGGUGCGUGAGGCCCCGGGCCCCCUUUUCUUUCAACCCCAAACCCCAGAGACCAGAGAGCCCUAAGCUGAGCUAGAGGAGCACAGGCAGCGCUGGCCCUCUGAGCCAUUGGGUAGGCCCAUACUGGGUGUGGAGGAAUGAAGGUGAACUUCCGGGGAACGAGAGAGGGGAAGAGGCGGAGCUCUGUAAGGAGGCGGGGAGACGUGGAGGGUCAGCCCAGGGGACGGGGCAGGGCCUCUGGAAAGCAGGAAGUGACGAUCUCCCCGAGUCCUACCUCCUCCUCCAAUUCCAAAGAUAUUCCUACCUUGGUUCCUAAGCGGGUCUUUUAACUUCCUGCGCCCAGCGCCUGUAGCCUCGGGAGCCUGGAGUGCCAGGGAUGGCCUUGGAGAGGGACAGACUGCCAGGCCAGGAGGUGGUAACGUUCAAGGAUGUGGCUGUGGACUUCACCUGGGAGGAGUGGUGCCUCUUGUCCCCUCCCCAGAAGUUGCUGUACAAGGAGGUGAUGCUGGAGAAUACCAGGACCCUGCUCUCUGUGGGACUUCCAGCUCCCCCAGAAGACAUGAUCUCUUAUUUGGAGCAGAGGGAAGCCCCGUGGAUGCUGGAUCAAGAAGACCUGAGGAGGUGCUACCCAGAAGGAAAGCUCACACCCAAAUUGAAGAUGAAUCCAACAGAGAUGAGCCUUCCUGUGGAAGAAAUGGACCUACAAAGAUUCAUGAGUGAUGGUCCUGGUAAUGUUGCUUUCAGAGAAUUCUCUGUUGUAUUUCAAAAUUCAUCUCAUAUUGAAAAACAAAGAAUGCACACUGAGGAAAAAUCUAGUGUAAAUAAUCAUUGUGGAAAGACUUUUAUACACAGAGCCAAUAUUUGUGGACAUCAGAGCAUCCACACUGGUGAGAAACUUUGUGGAUGCAAGCAAUGCGGAAAGACAUUCAGUCAAAGAUCCCAUCUUGAUGUACAUCAGAGAGUCCACCCCGGUGAGAAGCCUUGUGAAUGCAAACAGUGUGGAAAGACAUUCAGUUGGAGCUCCAAACUUGCUAUACAUCAGAAAGUCCAUAAUGGGGGAAAACCUUAUGAAUACAAGCAGUGUGGAAAGACAUUCACAGAUAGCUACAAUCUGGCUGUACAUCAAAGAAUCCACACUGUGGAGAAACCUUAUAAAUGCAAACAGUGUGGAAAGACAUUCACAAAUAUCUCUAGUCUUUCUGUACAUCAGAGAAUCCACACCGGGGAGAAACCUUAUGAAUGCAAACACUGUGGAAAGACAUUCAUAAAUACCUACAGUCUUGCUGUACAUCAGAGAAUCCACACUGGGGAGAAACCUUAUGAAUGUAAGCAGUGUGGAAAGGCAUUCAGACAGAGCUCCAAACUUGCUGUACAUCAGAGAUACCACACUGGGGAGAAACCUUAUGAAUGUAACCAGUGUGGAAAGACAUUCAAAAAUAGCUACAAUCUGUCUGUACACCAAAGAAUCCACACUGGGGAGAAACCUUAUAAAUGCAAACAGUGUGGAAUGACAUUCACAAAUACUUCCAGUCUUGCUAUACAUCAGAGAGUCCACACUGGGGAAAAACCUUAUGAAUGUAAGCAGUGUGGAAAGAUGUUCGCAAAAAGCUACAAUCUGGCUGUACAUCAAAGAACCCACACUGGGGAGAAACCUUAUAAAUGCAAACAGUGUGGAAAGACAUUCACAAAUACCUCUAGUCUUGGCGUACAUCAGAGAGUCCACACUGGGGAGAAACCUUAUGAAUGUAAGCAGUGUGGAAAGGCAUUCAGACAGAGCUCCAAACUUGCAGUACAUCAGAGAGUCCACACUGGGGAGAAACCUUAUGAAUGUAAGCAGUGUGGAAAGAUGUUCACAAGUAGUUACAAUCUGUCAGUACAUCAAAGAAUCCACACUGGGGAUAAACCUUAUAAAUGCAAACAGUGUGGAAAGACAUUCACAAAUACCUCCAGUCUUGUCGUACAUCAGAGAGUCCACACUGGGGAGAGACCUUAUGAAUGCAAGCAGUGUGGAAAGACUUUCAGACAGAGCUUCAAACUUACUGUACAUCAGAGAGCCCACACUGGGAAGAAACCUUAAGAUUACAAGCUACAUGGAAAGAUGUUCUCAUGCAGUUCUAGUCUUGCACCUGGCAUUAGCCUACACUUGGCCUAGAGGUGAGGAUUGAGUGAUGGAAACCACUGAGUGAGGAUAGAAUGGCAGUUGGGAAAAGUCAACAAUAAAGUUGAAAUCAUGAGUCCAGGGCAGAGUGAUGUCUCCUACACAGCCCCCUGGACUGUGGCUCCUAAGAAGAUGUUUGUGAGUUAGUGGGCAAAGAAAAGGUUUUGAUGAACUGAUGAACUCCUUCCUGCUGGGCCCUUUUUGUCCUCCCAUCCCAGGCAGGAAGAGCAGCCCUUCCCAGCUCUCUCCUGAUCUUUGGCAGUGAUUCCUCGGCUCUGGGGCCCCCUCAGCCCUCCAGAGCUCCCCCAGGUGCUGCCUCCCAGGUCUGAUAUCUGCCCAUUACAGGACUUCCAGCUCCCCCAGAAGACAUGAUCACUUAUUUGGAGCAGAGGGAAGCCCCGUGGAUGCUGGAUCAAGAAGACCUGAGGAGGUCCUACCCAGAAGGAGAGCUCAGACCCCAAAUGAAGAUGAAUCCAGCUGAGGAGAGCCUUCCUAUAGAAGAAAUGGACCUACGAAGAUCCAUGAGUGAUGGCCAUGGUAAUGUUGAUUUCAGAGAAUUCUCUGUUGUACCUCAAAAUUCAUCUCAUAUUGAACAUCAAAGAAUGCACACUGAGGAAAAAUCUAUUGUAAGUAAUCAUUGUGGAAAAACUUGUAUACACACGGCCAGUAUUUGUGGAUAUCAGUGCAUCCACACUUGUGAGAGACUUUAUGAAUGCAAGCAAUAUGGAAAGGUAUUCAGUCGGAGGUACCAUCUUGGUGUAUAUGAGAGACUACACUGGAGAGAAAUCUUAUGAAUGCAUUCAGUGUGGAAAAACUUUCACAGAUAAUUCUAAUAUCAGAAUCCACAUCACAUCAGAGAAUCCACACUGGGGAGAAACUAUGAAUGCAAGCAAUGUGGAAAGACAUUUAGUCAGUGAUCUCAUCUUGCUGUACAUCAGAGAAUCUACACUGGGGAGAAACCUUAAGAUUGCAGCAAUGUGGAAAGACAUUCAGUCAGUGAUCUCAUCUUGCUGUACAUCAGAGAAUCCACACUCUGGAGAAACCUUAAGAUUACAAGCUACAUAGAAAGAUGUUCUCAUGCAGUUCUAGUCUUGCACCUGGCUUUAGCCUGAACUUGACCCAGAGGUGAGGAUUGAGUGAUGGAAACCAUUGAGUGAGGAUAGAAUGGCAGUUGGGAAAAGGCACCAAUAAAGUUGAAAUCAUAAGGCGAGGGCAGAGUGAUGUCUCCAGCCCUGCUCCCUGGACUGUGGCUCCUAAGAUGAAAUUUGUCAGUUAGUGGGCAAAGAAAAGGUUUUGAUGAACUGAGACAAGAGCAGAUACCCAAGCUCAUCUUGUAAAUUUUAGAUUUACUCCACCCUGUUUAGUCUUUAGAAUUUUAGCAACCAAAAAUGUAUACACCCCCACUUAAGUAUUAACUGUAGGGGAGGAAGGUCUAUGACCCAGGUAUGCUAGCAAGUGACAAGUCAGAAGCAAAUGACUGACCCCCUUGGCUGUCCAAAGACAAGAUUAAACCACCAUUGGUACAUGUGAGACACAUGAAUUGAUGUAAAGAACUGCCUUUAUAUUUCACGUCACUUCCUGUGAGAGCAGCUUGGCAAUUUAACUUAGCUUGGAGGAUCUGUAGCAUGAGACCUCAAGACUGCAUCUCUUAGACUGUCACAUGGUGAAUGCAAGGCUGAAUCCCCUUUCCAAGGCUUUCUAAAGGCACCAGCCUCCAAGGAGGCCCCUGAUCUUGGAGGAGGCCUCGUGGCUGGAAGCCAAGCUAGAUUUAAUAUUCUGGGAAGGCCCCUUGGCUGAGGCCUCUGAACUCCCCCUGGCUCAGACCAAGCCAAAGCAGAUUUUCCCCUUUCUCUCUCUCUCUCCCUCAUUCUUAAUUUCUUCCUUCUAUUGUAAAUAAACCACCAUAAAAUUCCGUUCUGACUUUAGUAUUUCGUUGGGAUUUAGAAUUUAAAUCCCUGGUGACCAGUAAAAUUACAUUGAUUCUCAACCCUAAAAAAUAACCCAUAACAACAAUCUCUUUCUGUUUUGUUCCAUAAUAGAAAAAUAUGUGUUGUUUUUAUAAAAAUGUUAGCAUGUAUCAUAUUUAAAAUAGGAUUUCCAAGAAUUUAUUCCAGGAAUUAUUCCAAAGAGAAUAAUUUAUAAUUUAGUUACAAAAUAUAGACAGAGUGAAGUAAGAAAAUCAGAGAGAGGUUAGGGUAUGAUAGCUAGCCUAAACAGUUCAGUCCUUAACCAGAGAGUCCUCUGCCCUGGUAGCUGAGGACCUGGAGCAGUCUCUCUCAUGAACUAGGUCUCUCCUGAGGCUAGUUUCUUCAGAAAUUCCAGGAAAAUAAUCAGCUUUUUCACUCACAAUAUGUCAGUCCAAAAGAACAAGAUUUAAGAACAGUCUCUAGGAACAGCGUCUCAGGUCCAAUCAGCAGAUUCUUCAUCAGUCUCAACUCCAAAAAAUGAAGAACUCACUCUCACCGGAAGUUCAACUCUGAGUAGAACUGCACUCAAAAAGUUUUCACUCUUUAUAAAAGACACUUUCUUUUGCCCCACUUCGUGUGCCUUUCCCUAAUUUUACAUCUACCAGUCACAGUUGAAGCUUUGCUUUAGACUGUGUGACAAGGGAAUCACUUUAAAAAAAACUGAUAUAUAUUAAUUUAAGGUCGCCAAGGAAUUCAGCUAUGUAAUUCCUAAAUGAAAACUCAAGUCAGCCGUCAACCUUUUAUGGAGUUUAAUUUCAAUAGGAGGAAGAAAGGAAUUAGAGAUAGAGAGAGAGAAAAAGGGAGAGAAGGGAAUAGGGCUUAAAUACCCCUUCUGUUUAGGCUGGGCCAAAAGGCCCAAGCCCUUAGAUAGCUGGGGCAAAGAAAAGAGAUCAGUCCCUAUUACUCACGUGACCAAAAUGGAGAAACAGUCUCAGAGGCCCCCACCUUCAGCUUCCUUCAGAGCAAGCUUCUCAGAGUACACUGCCACCACUCCGACCAACUUCUCAACCACCCCGAGUCUUCAGACUCCCCUAUCUUUAAGGAAACCAUCCAAGUUCCCUCCCCUCAGUCCUCACAUCUACCAAUCACUGUCCAUGUCUUCCCUGUGCCAAUGGAGGCUCUAGCUUAACCCAGGACCGCCCAGAGGUCUCUGGCUUUUGCACAUGUCUGUUGAAGGUCAUAUUUUCAAAUAAUUAAAUCUUUGAUCCUUUGCUACAGCCCUUUCUAAAUCCUGUUAACCUGAGUAGGGUAGAGAUUGGAAUAAUUAAAUUUUGAUCUAGGCUGCAGCCCUUACUCAAUCCUGUUAGGACUGAAUAGGGUGGAGAUUGAUUCCAAGUAUCUCCAUUGUAUCAAUUCUAAAAUCAAUCAUGACUCAAAGAAAUUCCUGUUCUAUGCUUAAGCAUAGGUCAGAGUCCUUUCCAUUGUUCAGCAAAAGGUUUCUGUCCUAAAGUAAUCUUAAGAAGGGAAGGAGAAGGAACCUCCCAUGCCAAUGGGAUUCACAUUCCAAAAGUCAAGACCCACUAUCAAUAGGAAAUUUUUCAAGUAUGAAAUUUCCCAAUGGUGAAAUUUCCAACAUUUAUAAGUCUAAGAAAUUUUGAGGUUUACAACUGCCCAGGGACAGUCAGUUUAAUUCUGAUUUGUUUCCCACUAUUGUGCACAUGGGUCACAGACUUACCACUAAAUGAUUAAGUGGCAUGUUUACACUUUUGGUGAUUAGAUCUAAAAAUGGGCAGAUCUCCCCACUCAACUUUAAGUAGGGUAUUUGUACUUUUGGUGAUUAAAUAAAAAAAUGGGCAGGGGACAUAAUUUAAUUUUCACAAUCAGGGGAGAGUUAAAUUUAAUCUUCACAGUUGCUUGACUGAACUUCUCUGUGAGCAAGGCUAGAGCACCCUAAUGGUGGCCACCAAAUAGCAAGUUAAUUUGAGCAGUGAGGAAUGUAUAACUCUCCUAUUUUCCAACUUUUCUGCCUACUACCUUUUAAUAAAUAAAAUUAAUUUAGGACCAGUCUCAUAAUUUUUUCUUUUAUACUUUUCAUCACAGAAACCACACAUUCACACUGAGAUCUCAGUUUGCUCAAAAUCAGACAAUUCACUCUACUAUGUUGUAAGCUCUCCUAAGAUUAGGCCCAAAUGGGCAUAUGAUUUAGACUUAAAGUGUGAUCGUGUAAACAAAUUAGAGGAGCAUAGAAUAGUUUACUUUUCAGAUCAAUUUAUUGAUGAGGGAAAAAAUUAUGACUAAGAAAUAGAUAACAUUAUAAGGUAUAAAAUAGGUCAUUUUGUUAUAUCAAAUUCAAAACUGUACAAACAAAACGAAUGUGACCAAGAUUAAAAGUUGAAACAAGAAAUUAUCAUUUGCUUUGCAACAUGUCCAAUUAAAUACUUAGUUUUUAAAAAUUCUAACCCUGUUCUCUAAUGCCUUAAUCAAUUCAUGGCAUCUAGAUCUAAAGAGUAAUUAAUUUAGUAAGAGAAUAACAUCUUUGUUCUAUAGGAAUAAUUUGUAAUUAGCAUCAUUUCCUAUAUAAGGUUUCCCCCAAAAUUCUUACAAAACAAAAAUUAAAAGAUAACAAAUGAUAUUGUAGAUCUCAAAUAUGAAAUAAAAUUAUUGACAUUCCAAUGAUUUCUAUUCAGUUGAAUGCAUUAUCAAAAUAAUUAUCUUAUAUAGGAAAUCACCGUGCAUCUAUCAGCUUGACACUGUGGACUGAUUGCAUUGAGAAGCCAGUGUAACAUAACUGAUAUAAUUUCUACAAUUUCUAAACCUAUCACAUAUUAAAUAUAUAAUAAAUAAUAAAAAUACAAAUAAGGCCCAUUUUGUAUUAAGGUAUGUACAACAUAUAUCGCUAAAAUUUAUCACACCGGUACAGGACUCUAAGCUUAAUAUGUUUGUUAGAAGGAAGCCAGACUCCCCAAAAAGCUGGACCCUGCUGAAAUCCAGAGCAGGGACCCUGAACCUUAGGAGAUAGACUUUUUUAUGACAAGAAAUCUUAUGACACAGUGACAGAAAAUAUAGUCACAAUGAAAAUAGAAUGGAUGCAAAGUCAUUUAUAUGGGUAUUUUCUUGAUGACACAAGUGUGAUUAAUCUGCUAAGUAAAAAAUAUCACUCUGGGUGAUAAGUUUGCUGUACUCAGGGUCUUGGUGUUUUCACUGAUGAUCAUAGUAGAAUAGUAGAAGUCAACAGUUUUGGUUAAAUAAUAUGUGAAAACGAGUAGCCCUUCACCUCCUGCAUCACUUGUCUUUUUUGACAAACAAGACCAUCCUUCCUCUUUUUGUUGGACCAUCUUGUUAUACACCCAAGACAGGUGUGGUAGGAUUUAUGGAAUCUCCUGGCUUUCAGGCUUAAGUUAGUUGGGAUGUAAAUAAGAUUUGAUAGUACCCCAAACUGUAAUUAUCUUAGCUAAUGUUUAUGAUUCUUAUAAACUAAAUUAUAUUAUUUGACUAUGAACUCAUAAUGAAUGAUUGUGUUAUGAAAAUAAUCAUAAAGGCUAAUACUAUUAUAAUAAUAAAAGGGUAUGUAUAAAAGUUUCACACUAACACAUACAAGGUCAAAUAUAAUUAUCCUAAUAGGAAAACAAGUGUGAAUUAAGGUGCUACUACAUUAUCAUGUAUUUUAAAAUAGUUCCAUCAAAUCUAGAUUCAUCCUUGUAAAUGGUACCCUACAGAAUCUUUUCUCAAGAGGCAUUUGCUGCCAGUACCUCAAAUGAUAGGGACCUCUACUUUCAGAUUAGUCUGCUGCCAGGGUUUAUAGAUAUCUACCUGUUCUGUAAGAGGGUCUGAGUCCUGGACAUGAAGGAGGGAAAGAAGCAGGUGUUGAAGAGUCGGGGAAAGCGGAGGCUCAGAGGUGAGCAUGGCUAGUGGCCCAGGUAAAAUUUAAGCCAUGUGUCAGCAUUGAAUGCCCAAGGGAGAACUAGAUCUAGGAUUCUCAGAAGGAAACAAGGAAGCUCUAAGAGUUUAGGGACAAAGAGAAACUCAGAAAGUGAGAUGCUACCUGAGAAGACUGAAUCCAAGAGGUCAAGGUGAACAUAGAGGACAUAUUACAAACAGUGGAGACAACUAAGGGAAAGUUAUAAGAUGGAGGGUCUUGACCAAUAAUCAUCCAGGAGGCCAUUAUCACUUUGUCAGAGACAGAGUAGAGAGGAAUUCUUUUGGGAGAAACACCCAAGUUUGUAGACGAAUCUCAGCCCAAGAAUGGGAGACUCAGAUUCUAUUCAAUUUGUAAGAAAAAAAAAUUUUUUAAGAUGUAGGAUAUGGUUUUAUAAUAAAUGAUGGAAUAGUCUGGAGUCUAAUCAGGUAGCCUGAGGGCUGAGGGACAAGUCCAGCGGGUAGUAGAGUAACCUCUUUGCAACUGAUUGUAUAGAGUAGCAGCCACAACUUUAGAAUAGCAUCUUCCCAGCUCUGUGGAUUAGGGUUGGAAUAUUUAUUAAGGCCAGGGAGCUUGUCAUCUCCCAUCCUAGAGAAAUCUUUACCUUUCCUGAAAACCCUGGAAGGGGAGCAUGGCCAAAUUCAGGUGCAGGUGUGUUUUAUGGUGUGAUGUCAUAGGGAAUAAGGAGUCUGUGCAAAUUUGGGAGAUUCCUCUAGAAUGCCACUUUGGGAGCCAAGCCAGUGGUCUCUCAGAGGGUAAGGGUCCUCUGCCUAAUAUGAUGGUCCAUUCGAAUAAUGGAGUGAGAGAUACUGUAUGCUCAAUCCCACAGACAUGACAUGAUGAGUAGGCAUCACACAGUGUUCUGCCAUGGCAUGGAGGUUCGUUUAUUAUAUAGGUUUCAGUGAGUACAUACUUCUUUGGCACACAAUGAAUUUUCUACAUACACGUUUCCAUGGGACUUAAUAACAGAUGCAAAGUCUAAGGGGAUAGUCAGUGAAACAUUGUUGCUACAACAGAUGGAGAUAAAUGAUAUGUGAAGGGUGAUUUGGAGGUUAAUCCUUCUUGACCUAAGGAGAAUCAUUUUUACUUUUGGUCAGCUUUCACAAUCAAUCACAAUUACUGUGAUUUUUAGAUUUUCUCCAUCUUGCUUGGUCUAGCACCCAGGAAUGUGCACACCCACACUACACGGGCAUGUGCUAGCAAAUGACUAAUCAGAAACAACUGACUGCCCCCUUGGGCUGUCUUAAGCCAAGCUUGAGACACCAUUGGCACAUGUGAGAUGCAGGAAGUGAGGGAGAGAACUGCUUCUAGAGUUCUUGUCACUUCCUGUGGAGAGGGCUAGAUGCCAGUUCGAUCUUGGAACUCGAGCUUGGAGGAGCCCCACAGACAGCUUUCCUUCAAUCGGUCACAUGGGUGAGUGAUAAGGACGAACUCCCCUUUCCCUUGGCUCUCAGGCUAAAACCCUUGAACUCCUGCCUCCAGCUCAGCCUGAGUCAGAGCAGUUGAGUUAACUCUCUCUCCCUCUCUCUCUCUCUCUCUCUCUCUCUCUCUCUCUCUCUCUCUCUCUCUCUCACACACACACACACACACACACAAUUUCUUCCUCCUAUUGUAAUUAAAUCACCAUAAACUCCAUUCUGAUUUGAGUGUUUCAUUUUAGGAUUUUAAGGAAUUAAAAUCCUUGGCGACCAAUAAUAUUUAUAUUUCAGUCUCAACUAUAAUUUUAACCUUUACAUUACUUAGGAGAGGACUAACAAAACAUUUUGUAGCUAAGUGCAGGGUUAGAGGGUAAUUUAAUGACAGACCAGACUUGAGGUUUUCCUCAAUUUAUAAGUUCUAUUUUUCUUGUGUUACUUUAAAGCGCCUGGCAAUGUUGCCUGGUUUCUGUCUGCAGUGGAGUGUGUCUUGAAGGUGAUUGAUGUUCUUGGCUUGCCUGGCUUGUAACGGGAGUGAAUGUAACUCUGUGGAGAGGGAAAGGAGGGGGGUAAUGGGUAGUGCUCUUUAGGUUUUCAUUCUGUGAAUGUAAUCUUUUAGGAUAAUAAUCCUGGGGGAUUAAGGUGGCAUAUAUGUUUAUUGUAUAAGUCUUUGCUCUUAUAUUAUUUCUUUUGUAUUGAAGAGAGAACAAUAAUCAUUCAUUAGUGAAAGAAGUUAAUAUGAGAGAAGUUACAGAGGGAGAUCAGUGGGAGCCUCAUUUUCUGGGGGCUGUACUGUGAUUUUGUCAGCCAGUGGGGUUUGACAGCUUCCAACGAUGCCAGAGUCCCUAGGGCACAGGCCCCUUUUUCUGCAUUGUCCAUCAUGUCAUCAUUGGUCAGGGGACUUCUGCUGGCUCCCCAUUCCUUUGAGCCUCAUUCUCUACUUCUUACCUCAUUGCCACCAUCUUCUGAGGCAAUCUGGAACAUGGCUUUCUCCUAGAACUAGCUACUGUCUAUCCAAACUAACAGUCACAUCUCAAAAGUCAUAGGGCACCAUCCCCAAUUUACCAUUGAAUCACACUUUCCCUUCACACAUCCCCUAUUUUCUUAGGAAGGAGUUUUACCAAAUUCCUUUUGUGACACAAAUAUGGUACUGAUUCCAAAACCAGGCAGACCAAAAACCAAGAAAGAAAACUACAGACCAAUUUCCUUAAUGAACAUAGUUGUAAAAAUCUUAAGUAAAAAGACUCCAGUAAGUGAUCAUGAGGAUUAUCCACUAUGAUCAGCUGGGAUUUAUACCAGCAAUUCCAGGAUGGUUUAAUACUAGAAAAACCACAUAAUAGACCAUAUCAAUAAUCAAUACAACAGAAAUCACAAGAUUAUACCAAUAGGUGGAGAAAAAGCUUUUGACAAAAUACAACACUCAUUCCUAUUGAAAACACUAGAAAGUAUAGGAAUAGAAGGGCCUUUCCUUAAAAUAAUAAACAGUUUAUAUUUAAACCAUCAGCAAGUAUCAUCUGCAAUGAGGACAAGUUAGAAGUCUUUUAAGUAAAAUCAGGAGUGAAGCAAGGAUGCCCAUUAUCACCUCUUUUAUUCAAAAUUUACUAAAAACACUAGCAGUAGCAAUUAGAGAAGAAAAAGAAAUUGAAGGAAUUAAAGUGAGCAAUGAGGAGACUAAACUACCACUCUUUGCAGAUGAUAUGAUGAUAUAUUUUAUAUUUAAAGAACUCCAGAAUAUCAACUAAAAGGCUAGUGGAAAUAAUUAACAACUUUAUUAAAUUUGCAAGAUACAAGAUAAACACAUAACUCAUCAGCAUUUCUCUAUAUAUUUUCAACAAAACUCAGCAGCAGAAGAUAGAAAGAGAAACUCCACUUAAAAUCACUCUAGACAAUAUAAAAUAUUUAGGAAUCUAUCUUCCAAGUCAAACAGAAAUUAUAUGAACAUAAAUACAAAAUGCUUCACACAAUUAAAACUAGACAUAAACAAUUGGAAAAACAUGAAUAACUCCUGUGUAGGAUCAGCUAGUAUAAUAAAAAUUACAAACCUACCUAAAUUAAUAUACUUAUUCAGUUCCAUACCUAUUAAAGUACCGAAAAAAACUUUUUUAUAGAAUUAGAAAAAGAUUAUUAAAAAGUUCAUUUAGAAGAACAAAAGAUCAAGACUAUCAAGGAAAAUAAUGAAAAAAAAAAAGUGAAGGAAUGGAGCCUAGCAGUACCAGAUAUUAAACUGUACUAUUGUAUAAUUAAAAAUCUGUUACCCUAAAAAGGAACUACAUAUUCUGAGAGCCCACUGAAUUCCUGUCAUUAUGUACUUCCUGUAAACAGAGGAUAAACUCAGUGGGAGUUGAGGCUCCUCCUCUCUUUGGCAUGCAGCCAGCAGUGAUGGUGCUGAGUGGGGAUUUUUAAAAUGGCUAACCAGCCAGGGGCACAUGGUUUUUAUUUUGUAUCCUCUUUAUUCCUUGAUUUCUAAUGAUCUUUAAUAAAUUGCCUAAAAUAGAUUAUUUUUAUUAUUGCACAUUAAUUUUAAUUUUUACACUAUAAAUCAGUGGUCAUCAAAACAAUAUGGUAUCAACUUACCGAAAAGUCUAUUCCCCAGUUGACAAAUGGUCAAGGGAUAUGAGUAGGCAGUUUUCAUAUGAUGAAAUCAAAACUAUCAAUAAUCACAUGAAAAAGUGUUCUAAAUCCAUUCUGAUUAGAGAAAUGGAAAUUAAGACGACUCUGAAGUACCACCUCACACUUAGCAGAUUGGCCAAUAUGACAGCAAAGGAAAGCAAUAAAUGUUUGAGGGGAUGUGGUAAUAUUGGGAUACUAAUACAUUGCUGGUGGAGUUGUGACUUGGUCCAACCAUUCUCGAGGGCAAUUUGUAAUUAUGCACAAAGGGCUUUAAAAGACUUUCUGCCCUUUGUUCCAGCCAUCGCGCUCCUGGGUUUGUACUCCAAAGAGAUAGUAAGUAAAAAAACUUUUGCAAAAAUAUUUAUAGCCACACUCUGGUGGCAAAAAAUUAGAAAAUGAUUCCCUUCGAGUGGGAAAUGGCUAAACACACUGUUGUAUCUUCUGGUAAUGGAAUUAUAUUGUGACAAAAGGAAUAAUGAACUGGAGGAAUUCCAUGGGAACUGGAACAACCUCCAGGAAAUGAUGCAGAAUGAAAGGAGCAUAACCAGGAGAACCAUAUACCCAGAGACAGAUACACUGUAGCAUAAUCAAAUAUUUUCUUAGGGAGGAAUUUUACCAAAUUCCUUCUACUAGCAACAAUGCAAUGAUCCAAGACAUUUUGGAGGGACCUAUGAGAAAGAAUGCUAUUCAUAUCCAGAGAAAGAACUGUGGGAGCAGAAGCACAGAAGAAAAACCAAGAUCUUGAUCACAUGAGUUGAUGAGGAAAUGAUUGGGGAUGUAGACACUAAACAAUAAUUCUGGUGCAAAUAUCAAUAAUAUGCCAUAGAUUUUGAAAGGAUGUCUCAUCAUUAUCAUUUUCUUCAAUGAAAUUAUUCAUUGUUUCUAUGAUUUGUUCUUUAACUAACCUAUUUUGGAGAAUUGUAUUGUUUAAUUUCCAAUUAAUUUUUGAUUUGCCUCUCCAUGUACCCUUACUAAUGAUUAUUUUCAUCAUGUUGUGGUCUGAGAAGGUUGCACUUGUUUGCAAUGUUUUUAUGCCCUAAUACAUGAUUGAUCUUUGUGAAUGUACCAUGUGCUGCUGGAAAGGUGUAUUCCUUUUCUGUCCCUAUUAAUUUUUCUCUACAUAUCUACUAUCUCUAAUUUUUCUAAGAUUUCAUUCACUUCUCUAACCUCUUUCUUAUUUAUUUUUUGGUUUGAUUUAUCUAGUUCUUUUAGAGGAAGGUUCAGGUCUCCCACUAGUAUAGUUUUUCUAACUAUUUCAUCCUUGAGCUCCACUAGUUUCUCCUUUAGAAAUUUGGAUGCUAUGCCAUUUGGUGCAUACAUGUUGAAUACUGAUAUUUCCUCAUUGUCUAUACUGCCUUUUAUCAGGUUCCCUAUCUCUUUUGACUAGAUAUUUUUACAUUUGCUUUGUCAGAUAUCAUGAUUGCAACUCCUGUCUUCUUUUUAUCAGUUGAUACCCAAUAGAUUUGGCUCCAUCCUCUUACUUUUACCCUAUGUGUGUCAACCUUCCUCAUGUGUGUUUCUUGUAGACAGCAUAUGAUAGGGUUUUGGUUUCUAAUCCACUCUAUUUGCUUGCGUUUUUGGGUGAGUUCAUUCCAUUCAUAUUCAGAGUUAUGAUUACCAGCUGUGUAUUUCCCAGUAUUUUGAUUUCCACUCCUAGUCCUGCCCUUUCUUCUUUCACUAUUUCUUUCUACACCAGUUUUUUGUUUUUAUUCAGUCCCCCUAAUACCCACCCUAGUUUUACUUGCCUUUAUACCCCCUCCCUUCUUAUUCCCCUCUUAUUUUCUUUACAGUCUUUUUAAACUACCCCUACCCUCUCCUUCCCUUCUAAUGAUUCCUUCCCCACCAGUUUGUUUGUUACCCUUCUACUUCCCUAUAGGGCACAAAUCAAUUCUCUGCCUCAAUGUAUUUGAUUGUUCUUCCCUCUUUGAGUCAAUUUCAAAGCACAUAAGAAUUGAGUAUUUUAUGUCUUGGCAUUUCAUCCUAUACAGUUUGUCACUAUUCCCUCUAAGUAUAAUUCUUCUAGUUACCAAGAUGAUAAUAACAAUUUUUAAGAGUUACCAAUAUCCUCUUUUUUUGUAGGGAUACAUACCAUUUUAACUCAUUGGGUCCCUUAAGAAAAGGGUUUUUUUGUUUGUUUAGUUUUGUUUUUAUUUUUUCCCCAUUUCUUAAUUACCUUUUGAUGAUUCUCUUGAGUUCUGUGUUUGGGCAUCAAAUUUUCUAUUCAGGUUUGGUCUUUUCUUUACAAAUACUUGGAAUUCUUCUAUCUUAUUAAAUGACUAUACUUUCCCCAAAUAUCUAUAAUAUGGAAAGAGGUCUUGAUCAUUGACACAUGUAAAACCCCUUGGGAUUGUGUGUUUGCUAUGGGAGUAGGGGAGAGGAGGGAAUUUAAUAAAACAUGAAUCUUGUAAACUUGAAAAAAUGUUCAAAAUAAAAAUUAGAAAAAGAAAGAACCUCACCCCCACACACACACACACACAUACACAAAGAAGAGUAGAAAGGGAUAGAGAAGUAGAGGCAUGCCUCUUGGAUUGGAGAAUAUAAUAGUUAAAAGAGUCUAAAUGGAGAAAAGGAUAAGAAAGGGACAAGCAGAGAGUAUCACUCAUAGAAUCAUGUUAUAGAAUUGGAAUUACUAGGAAGACUAAAUCCCAAGGAAAUGAGAGAGGGCUGAAGCAAAAGUUUGAGUGUUGUUUUCAUACAUAUUUGUGUUGGGAGACAGGAGGGAAACAGACUAGAUUCUCUCUGUGUCACUUUGCAUUGAGUUCAUUAAGAUAUCCAAGUCAUUUCUAAUUUACUGUUAUAACUUGAAAGUCACCAUGCCAAAGUCACGAAGCUCUUCUGAUGUUCUGCUCCUAUGGAGCUGAUGGUUCCUGACUGGAUUGCAUCUGUAAUUUAGACAUCAGAGGAUUAUAGACCUUGACCAGCACUACCUCAAGAGUUUCUCCUAAUUUGGCACACAUCACUAGGAUGUGAAUGAUAACAAAUAUGUGAUAAGAUUUGUAAAUUGUUCUCCUUUGAUAUUUGGCAUGAUUUUAGGUAACUUCCAAGUUCCCCUUGUAAUUUUAUUCCCUGUUAAUACAUUCAUAUUGAUCAGGAGAGGGAGAGGCUAGUGGGACCAGAAAGAGACAAAAUUUUAAGACAAUCCAUACCCUGGUCUUCUGUCCACCAUCAUGCACCACCAUGUCUAGAUAGUAAUCUAACCAAAACCAUAGCAAAAAGAACAACAUAUAAAACAUGACAGAAGAGUGUAGGCCAACUAUCACCUAUCUAGUGUACUGGGUUCUACGUCUGAGUGCAGAAAAACUUUGAAAUGCUGGGACCCUACCUAAGUCAACAGGAGAGCACCCCAUGCCUAAAUAAACCUUGAAGUCCCUGGCUCUGACACAUCCCUGCAGUGAGGUCCCCAGAUCUCUGACAUUUGGCCUAUUUAAGCCUGUGGUGAGGCUCCUGGAUCCAGGGCAAAGCAGUUUACACGAAUCUGAGCUUUUCAAGUCAUCAGCAGUACUGAGAGGAGACAGAAUCAGCAGCUUUUAGAGCUCUCAGCCCAUAGGCCAUCAUCACCAUUGUGAAUUUUAAAAACUAUUCCACCCUAAUCAGACCAUUCUUUAGAAGAUCUGAUUUAGCUAUUUCCUGAUCAAUAACUAUAGAGAUACUUGGAAUAACAGAAUCAGGUCUUGGAAACUACAUUCUUCACCCUUCUUAGUUUAACAAGAUUAAGAAGGUCUACAUCAAACUCAAGAUUUAAUUAUCCAAGAAAAUGGCCUUCAACAGACAUGUGAAAACAAAGGAUAGACCUCUGGGCUGUCCUAAGUCAAGAUUGAGCCACCAUUGGCACAUGUGAGAUGCAGGAAGUGAGGUAGAAAACAAUCUCUGGAGUUCUCAUGACUUCCUGUGGAGAGGGCUAGACGCCAGUUCGAUCCUGGAGCUCAAGCUUGGAGGAGCCCCACAGACAGCUUUCCUUCAGAUCAGUCAUGUGAGUGAUAAGGACUGACUCCCUUCUCUGCCUUGGCUCUCCGGGGCCUUAAACUCCUUUCCUUCUCUCCCUCUCUCUCUCCCUCUAAUAUUUUCUUCCUCCUGUUGUAAUUAAAUCAGCAUAAAAUUUCCAGCUGAGUUUGUGUGUUUCAUUAGGAUUUUAUAAAUAUAAUCCUUGGUGGUCAAAUAUAAUUAUUACAUUCAGUCUCAACCAUAAUUUUAACCCUUACACCAUGGAAGUAGUGAAAGUUGCAAUAACUUCAAACUAGAGCUGAAGAGAAAAUUGCAGUUUAAUAGAAUGCCCCUCUAAUCUGAAAAGAGAUCCCACCUUUAAGAUAUAAUUCUAAAAUACAUAUUUUAAGACUGGUAAAAUGAGCCCGCUGCAAAAGAAACACCUAACCACAGAAAAUAACUAAGGGAAAAAAGAAGAGCAAGGCAUAGACUCAGUAGGAGACAGUGAGAAAAAGCAGCCACAUACAUAACAACAAAGAAAAAUAGAAAUUGGUCUCAGGUGCUGAAAGUGCUUAAAAAGGAUUUCAACAAUUGUGUAAUUACAAUUUGAACCCUAGAACUACUAUUCUCAGCACCCCACCUUCCUUACCACUUUACAUGCUGAUAUAGGGAGGAUAUAAAUUUUGUGUGACACUGCCUCUUGAGCUCUUCCUGUGAUUGUGUUUUACUUGAGGUGGUAUGAGGUGAGCAGGUAGUAUACCCUCUAUCCAUCAGUACUGAGUAUAUACUUUUAGGGGCAGAAAUGGUCAUUUAAUAAAAUAGAAGACUCCUUUAAUAAUAAUAAUAAUAUAGCACAAUAUGAUAUAGCAUAAUAAUAAUAAAGCAUUCCUGAUGAAAAAACCAGACCUAAACAGAUAAUUUGAUGUCUAAAUAAAAGUUCAAAAACAAGUAUAAAAAGGUAAAUAAGAAAAAAGAAAAUUUAAGGGAUUCAGUAAGUUCAAAUUGUCUAUAUCUAUCUAAAGAUUAUAUUUGCAACUUUAAAAUUUCAUCAUUAUUGUAGUAGUUAGAUGCAUACAGAGGAUGUUGGAGUAAGCUAUUUAGGAUAACAGUAAAAAAAAUCAAGGGGUGAAAAAAAAGAUUUCACUGAUAGAAAAGGGAAGAGAGAGGUAAAAUGGGGUAAAUUAUUUCACCAAAAGAGGCAUGAAAAAAUAAAGCAACUACAGUGGAGGUGAGGAUGAGGGUAGUGACAGACAAUGCUUAUUAUGAUCAGUAUUGGUUUUAGAGAGGGAAUAAUAAUCAGACUCGUUGGGGUAUAGAGUCCUAUCUUAACAUAAUGAGAAGUAGACGACAACGUGAAAAGGGGGUGGUGAGGAGGGGUGCAAUAUAAAGGAUAGGGAAUGGAGAAGGUGAUUAAAAGCAAAACACUUGUGGAAAGACAGUGCAAAAGGAGAAACAAGAUUAAAUUGGUAAAACAAGAUGAAGGGGAAUACACAGAUGCCAAUCAUAACUGAAUGUAGAUGGGAUAAACUCACCCUUAAAAUGGAAGCUGAUAGCAGAGUGGAUUAAAAACCAGAAUCUUAUGAUAUGCUGUUUCCAAGAAACAUAUGAGUCAGAUAGACAAACACAGAAUAAAGGUAAGGGGAUGGAGGAGAAUGUAUUAGGCUUCAACUGAGAUUUAUAAAAAUCAGGAGUGGCAAUCAUGAUCUCAGACAAAAGUAAAGGAAAAAUAGAUCUAAUUAAAUGACACAAGGAAGGUUGAUAUGUCUUGAUAAAGCAUACUAUAUACAAUAUGGUAAUAUCAAUACUUAACAUAUGCAUCACAUAAUAUAGCCUUCAAAUUCUUAACAGAGAAACAAAAGAGCUUAAGGAAGAAAUAGACAGUAAAACUGUACUAGUAGAAGACCUCAACCUUCCCCUCUCAGGAUUAAAUAUAAUUAAAAAAUAAAUAAGAAGUAAAAGAAGUGAAUAAAUUCUAGAAAAAGUGAGAUUUAAUAGCUCUCUGGAGAAAAUGAAUAGGGUUAAAAAAGAAUGACUCCCUUUCAGUGGCACAUAGUACAUAUUUGAAAAUUGACCAUAUUCUAGGGCAAAAAAGGCAUAACCAAAUGCAAAAAAGCAGAAAUAAUAAAUGCAUCCUGUUCAGAUCAUAUUGCAAUAAAAUUUAUAAUCCAUAAUAAUUCAUGGAAAGACAAAUUAAUUAGAGAUUAAAUAAUCUAAUUCUUCAUACAGGGUGGGUCAAAGAACAAAUUUUAGAAACAAUGAUUUCACUAAAGAGAAUGACAAUGAGACAAAAUAUCAAAAUUUAUGGGAUAUAAUCAAAUCAAUAUUUUUGAGAAAUUUUUAUAUUAUUUAUAUCAAGGAAAAAGAGUAAAAGGCAAUCAAUGUUUUGGACAAACAACUUUUAAAAAACCUAGAAAAAGAACAAAUUGGCAAUCUCCAAAUAAAGACUAAAUUUAAAAUCCUAAAUUUAAAAAAAAAGGAAAAAUUAGCACAAUUAAAAGUAUGAGAACUAUUGAACUAGUAAAUAAGACAAAGAAUUGAUUUUAUGAGGAAGAAUAAAAUAUAGAUAGAAUAUUGGUUAAUUUCA
Monodelphis domestica (gray short-tailed opossum) is the source of this 18696-nucleotide non-coding RNA. The record is from RefSeq and is a predicted model, not a curated record. NCBI's taxonomy places the organism in Eukaryota, Metazoa, Chordata, Mammalia, Didelphimorphia, Didelphidae.